GUUCGAGCAUCAGAUCUUGACAUUGCAUCGGUUUUGGGAAUGAGUUUCCCAUCUUAUCGUGGUGGCAUUGUUUUCUGGGCAGACAUGGUUGGAGCUAAACACAUAUAUAAAAGCCUGAUGAAAUGGUCUCAAUUAUAUGGUAAAUUCUUCAAACCAUCAAGAUAUUUGGAAGAAAGGGCAUCAAAAGGCAUACUGUUGAGUGCCCCUGCUUCAUCGACAAGAUCACGCCUGUAGGCUGCAAUUCUGAAGAGAGUGCUCAAGCAUUAUGUGAUUCAGUGAAA
Molecule: unclassified non-coding RNA, 281 nt
Filed under: Hevea brasiliensis (rubber tree)
Lineage: Eukaryota; Viridiplantae; Streptophyta; Magnoliopsida; Malpighiales; Euphorbiaceae
Source: RNAcentral